AGUCGUAACAAGGUUUCCGUAGGUGAACCUGCGGAAGGAUCAUUAUUGAAUGUAUGAGUUUUCUGUAUAUGUAUAUGAAUAUAUAUGUACACCUACUCUAUACCUUAAUACAAUUUUCACUGUCCCAAUAUGUGGUUAUCAGUAUAUGGUCUAUGGUUAUUUUCUAUAACAGCUUUCCUAGGAAGGCCUGUUGUGGAUUAUAUAUACCAAGUAAUUGACUGAUUAUAAUAUAUGUUCAUGUUCUAUGGACUGUGAGAUAUUAUAAACCUCAGAGCGGUUGGAACUUUCGGGGGAUAACAACUCUGUCUCUCUAUAAUAUCACACAAUGUUCAGUGUCCAUGCACACAUAAUCUUAAUAAAACACAACUUUCAACAACGGAUCUCUUGGCUCUCAU
This 395-nucleotide unclassified non-coding RNA is filed under the name fungal sp. RNAcentral describes it as "partial internal transcribed spacer region". The stretch from base 1 to 45 matches the Rfam family "Eukaryotic small subunit ribosomal RNA", at positions 1787 to 1831 of the family's 1831-position model. Lineage: Eukaryota; Fungi. The record is from RNAcentral.